This 252-nucleotide ribosomal RNA is filed under the name uncultured bacterium. RNAcentral describes it as "partial 16S ribosomal RNA". It matches the Rfam family "Bacterial small subunit ribosomal RNA", at positions 524 to 775 of the family's 1533-position model. The record is from RNAcentral.
UACGUAGGUGGCAAGCGUUGUCCGGAAUUAUUGGGCGUAAAGCGCGCGCAGGCGGUCCUUUAAGUCUGAUGUGAAAGCCCACGGCUCAACCGUGGAGGGUCAUUGGAAACUGAGGGACUUGAGUGCAGAAGAGGAAAGCGGAAUUCCACGUGUAGCGGUGAAAUGCGUAGAGAUGUGGAGGAACACCAGUGGCGAAGGCGGCUUUCUGGUCUGUAACUGACGCUGAGGCGCGAAAGCGUGGGGAGCAAACAG